RNAcentral lists this long non-coding RNA (210 nucleotides) under Carica papaya (papaya). RNAcentral's name for it is "long non-coding RNA (CPAP_LNC010991)". The record is from RNAcentral. Lineage: Eukaryota; Viridiplantae; Streptophyta; Magnoliopsida; Brassicales; Caricaceae.
UGUGCUUUAAGGAAAUCCCUAUAGUGUAUUUCUAUAACUAAAGUUUGUCUUAGAGGUUUUCAUUUAAUUUUCAGAUUUUCAUUAAACUCAAAUGAAACAAAAGAAUGGGUGGCACUAGUAUCAAUCAAAGCACAAGAAGUAGAAUUAUGAACAGAAAAAUGUACCCUGGAUGAUAGCCGGUGUCGCCACAGCACCAGGCUUGUCAAGAUG